This 76-nucleotide transfer RNA is filed under the name Butyricicoccus faecihominis. RNAcentral describes it as "tRNA-Thr". It matches the Rfam family "tRNA". Rfam says of the family: Transfer RNA (tRNA) molecules are approximately 80 nucleotides in length. Their secondary structure includes four short double-helical elements and three loops (D, anti-codon, and T loops). RNAcentral also lists the same sequence under 1 other name. The record is from RNAcentral. Lineage: Bacteria; Bacillati; Bacillota; Clostridia; Eubacteriales; Butyricicoccaceae.
GCUAGUGUAGCUCAGCUGGUAGAGCAGCUGAUUUGUAAUCAGCAGGUCGGGGGUUCAAGUCCGUCCACUAGCUCCA